UAGCUAGUUGGUAAGGUAACGGCUUACCAAGGCGACGAUCAGUAGCCGGCCUGAGAGGGUGAACGGCCACAUUGGGACUGAGACACGGCCCAAACUCCUACGGGAGGCAGCAGUGGGGAAUCUUCCGCAAUGGGCGAAAGCCUGACGGAGCAAUGCCGCGUGAGUGAAGAAGGCCUUCGGGUUGUAAAGCUCUAUCGUAGCCGAAGAGAGGUGGGGAUAGUAACUGAUUCACACAGGACGGUAGGCUACAAGGAAGCCCCGGCUAACUAU
RNAcentral lists this ribosomal RNA (270 nucleotides) under uncultured bacterium. Its description in RNAcentral is "partial 16S ribosomal RNA". It matches the Rfam family "Bacterial small subunit ribosomal RNA", at positions 242 to 504 of the family's 1533-position model. The record is from RNAcentral.